AGUCACUGACAUUAGAUACCCCUGUAGUCCAGGGUGUAAACGCUGCAGACUUGGUGUUGGGAACCCUUCGGGGGUGCUCAGUGCCGGAGAGAAGUUGUUAAGUCUGCUACUUGGGGAGUACGUCCGACAAGGAUGAAACUUAAAGGAAUUGGCGGGGGAGCACCGCAACGGGAGGAGCGUGCGGUUUAAUUGGAUUCAACGCCGAAAAACUCACCAGCAGCGACUGUUACAUGAAAGUCAGGUUGAUGACCUUACUAGAUUUUCAG
Molecule: ribosomal RNA, 266 nt
Filed under: uncultured archaeon
Lineage: Archaea
Description: partial 16S ribosomal RNA
Rfam family: Archaeal small subunit ribosomal RNA
Source: RNAcentral